AGGAUUAACGCUGGCGGCGUGCCUAACACAUGCAAGUCGAACGAGGUAGCAAUACCUAGUGGCAGACGGGUGAGUAACGCGUGGUCAACCUACCGUUGAGUGGGGGAUAACUAGCCGAAAGGUUAGCUAAUACCGCAUACGUCUCCGAGGGGGCAUCCCUUGGCGAUAAAAGGAGCAAUCCGCUCGAUGACGGGACCGCGUCCCAUUAGCUAGAUGGUGGGGUAACGGCCUACCAUGGCACCGAUGGGUAGCUGGUUUGAGAGAGCGACCAGCCACACUGGGACUGAGAAACGGCCCAGACUCCUACGGGAGGCAGCAGUGAGGAAUUUUCCGCAAUGGGCGCAAGCCUGACGGAGCGACGCCGCGUGUGGGAAGAAGGCCUUCGGGUCGUAAACCACUGUCGAAGGGGACGAUAAUGACGGUACCUUGGAGGAAGCCCCGGCUACUACGUGCCAGCAGCCGC
Molecule: ribosomal RNA, 463 nt
Filed under: uncultured bacterium
Lineage: Bacteria
Description: SSU rRNA
Rfam family: Bacterial small subunit ribosomal RNA
Source: RNAcentral